Molecule: ribosomal RNA, 396 nt
Filed under: uncultured bacterium
Lineage: Bacteria
Description: partial 16S ribosomal RNA
Rfam family: Bacterial small subunit ribosomal RNA
Source: RNAcentral
AUACGUAGGUGGCAAGCGUUGUCCGGAAUUAUUGGGCGUAAAGCGCAUGUAGGCGGUUUGGUAAGUCGGUCGUGAAAAUGCGGUGCUUAACGCCGUAUGGCGAUUGAAACUGCUGAACUUGAGUGCAGGAGAGGAAAGGGGAACUCCCAGUGUAGCGGUGAAAUGCGUAGAUAUUGGGGAGAACACCGGUGGCGAAGGCGCCUUUCUGGACUGUGUCUGACGCUCAGAUGCGAAAGCCAGGGUAGCGAACGGGAUUAGAUACCCCGGUAGUCCUGGCCGUAAACGAUGGGUACUAGGUGUGGGAGGUAUCGACUCCUUCCGUGCCGGAGUUAACGCAAUAAGUACCCCGCCUGGGGAGUACGGCCGCAAGGCUUAAACUUAAAGGAAUUGACGGGG